Molecule: ribosomal RNA, 347 nt
Filed under: uncultured Pseudomonas sp.
Lineage: Bacteria; Pseudomonadati; Pseudomonadota; Gammaproteobacteria; Pseudomonadales; Pseudomonadaceae
Description: bacterial SSU rRNA
Rfam family: Bacterial small subunit ribosomal RNA
Source: RNAcentral
ACAGGUGCUGCAUGGCUGUCGUCAGCUCGUGCGUGAGAUGUUGGGUUAAGUCCGUAACGAGCGCAACCCUUGUCCUUAGUUACCAGCACGUUAUGGUGGGCACUCUAAGGAGACUGCCGGUGACAAACCGGAGGAAGGUGGGGAUGACGUCAAGUCAUCAUGGCCCUUACGGCCUGGGCUACACACGUGCUACAAUGGUCGGUACAAAGGGUUGCCAAGCCGCGAGGUGGAGCUAAUCCCAUAAAACCGAUCGUAGUCCGGAUCGCAGUCUGCAACUCGACUGCGUGAAGUCGGAAUCGCUAGUAAUCGUGAAUCAGAAUGUCACGGUGAAUACGUUCCCGGGCCUU